Molecule: transfer RNA, 72 nt
Filed under: Camelus dromedarius (Arabian camel)
Lineage: Eukaryota; Metazoa; Chordata; Mammalia; Artiodactyla; Camelidae
Also listed under: 1 other name
Rfam family: tRNA
About the family: Transfer RNA (tRNA) molecules are approximately 80 nucleotides in length.
Source: Rfam by way of RNAcentral
GUGGGUAUAGCUCAGUGGUAUAGUGCAUGUUUAGCAUGCACAGGGUCCUGGGUUCAAUCCCCAGUGCCUCCA